GGUGAGUAACACGUGGGAACGUGCCCUUCGGUUCGGAAUAACUCAGGGAAACUUGAGCUAAUACCGGAUACGCCCUUUUGGGGAAAGGUUUACUGCCGAAGGAUCGGCCCGCGUCUGAUUAGCUUGUUGGUGGGGUAACGGCCUACCAAGGCGACGAUCAGUAGCUGGUCUGAGAGGAUGAUCAGCCACACUGGGACUGAGACACGGCCCAGACUCCUACGGGAGGCAGCAGUGGGGAAUAUUGGACAAUGGGCGCAAGCCUGAUCCAGCCAUGCCGCGUGAGUGAUGAAGGCCUUAGGGUUGUAAAGCUCUUUUGUCCGGGACGAUAAUGACGGUACCGGAAGAAUAAGCCCCGGCUAACUUCGUGCCAGCAGCCGCGGUAAUACGAAGGGGGCUAGCGUUGCUCGGAAUCACUGGGCGUAAAGGGCGCGUAGGCGGCCGAUUAAGUCGGGGGUGAAAGCCUGUGGCUCAACCACAGAAUUGCCUUCGAUACUGGUUGGCUUGAGACCGGAAGAGGACAGCGGAACUGCGAGUGUAGAGGUGAAAUUCGUAGAUAUUCGCAAGAACACCAGUGGCGAAGGCGGCUGUCUGGUCCGGUUCUGACGCUGAGGCGCGAAAGC
RNAcentral lists this ribosomal RNA (620 nucleotides) under Methylobacterium sp. I12B-00721. RNAcentral describes it as "bacterial SSU rRNA". It matches the Rfam family "Bacterial small subunit ribosomal RNA", at positions 105 to 760 of the family's 1533-position model. Lineage: Bacteria; Pseudomonadati; Pseudomonadota; Alphaproteobacteria; Hyphomicrobiales; Methylobacteriaceae. The record is from RNAcentral.